Molecule: ribosomal RNA, 977 nt
Filed under: Bacillus sp. (in: firmicutes)
Lineage: Bacteria; Bacillati; Bacillota; Bacilli; Caryophanales; Bacillaceae
Description: bacterial SSU rRNA
Rfam family: Bacterial small subunit ribosomal RNA
Source: RNAcentral
AGUCGAGCGGAUCUUCAUUAGCUUGCUUUUGAAGAUCAGCGGCGGACGGGUGAGUAACACGUGGGCAACCUGCCUGUAAGACUGGGAUAACUUCGGGAAACCGGAGCUAAUACCGGAUAAUCCUUUCCCUCACAUGAGGGAAAGCUGAAAGACGGUUUCGGCUGUCACUUACAGAUGGGCCCGCGGCGCAUUAGCUAGUUGGUGAGGUAACGGCUCACCAAGGCAACGAUGCGUAGCCGACCUGAGAGGGUGAUCGGCCACACUGGGACUGAGACACGGCCCAGACUCCUACGGGAGGCAGCAGUAGGGAAUCUUCCGCAAUGGACGAAAGUCUGACGGAGCAACGCCGCGUGAGCGAUGAAGGCCUUCGGGUCGUAAAGCUCUGUUGUCAGGGAAGAACAAGUAUCGGAGUAACUGCCGGUACCUUGACGGUACCUGACCAGAAAGCCACGGCUAACUACGUGCCAGCAGCCGCGGUAAUACGUAGGUGGCAAGCGUUGUCCGGAAUUAUUGGGCGUAAAGCGCGCGCAGGCGGUUCCUUAAGUCUGAUGUGAAAGCCCCCGGCUCAACCGGGGAGGGUCAUUGGAAACUGGGGAACUUGAGUGCAGAAGAGGAGAGCGGAAUUCCACGUGUAGCGGUGAAAUGCGUAGAGAUGUGGAGGAACACCAGUGGCGAAGGCGGCUCUCUGGUCUGUAACUGACGCUGAGGCGCGAAAGCGUGGGGAGCGAACAGGAUUAGAUACCCUGGUAGUCCACGCCGUAAACGAUGAGUGCUAAGUGUUAGAGGGUUUCCGCCCUUUAGUGCUGCAGCAAACGCAUUAAGCACUCCGCCUGGGGAGUACGGCCGCAAGGCUGAACUCAAGGAAUUGACGGGGGCCCGCACAAGCGGUGGAGCAUGUGGUUUAAUUCGAAGCAACGCGAGACUUACCAGGUCUUGACAUCCUCUGACACCCUAGAGAUAGGGCUUUCCCUUCGGGG